UACGGAGGGUGCUAGCGUUGUUCGGAAUUACUGGGCGUAAAGCGCACGUAGGCUGCGAUUUAAGUCAGAGGUGAAAGCCCGGGGCUCAACCCCGGAAUAGCCUUUGAGACUGGAUUGCUUGAACAUCGGAGAGGUGAGUGGAAUUCCGAGUGUAGAGGUGAAAUUCGUAGAUAUUCGGAAGAACACCAGUGGCGAAGGCGGCUCACUGGACGAUUGUUGACGCUGAGGUGCGAAAGCGUGGGGAGCAAACAGG
RNAcentral lists this ribosomal RNA (253 nucleotides) under uncultured bacterium. RNAcentral describes it as "partial 16S ribosomal RNA". It matches the Rfam family "Bacterial small subunit ribosomal RNA", at positions 524 to 776 of the family's 1533-position model. The record is from RNAcentral.